Molecule: long non-coding RNA, 548 nt
Filed under: Manacus vitellinus (golden-collared manakin)
Lineage: Eukaryota; Metazoa; Chordata; Aves; Passeriformes; Pipridae
Description: lncRNA (ENSMVIG00005015061.1)
Source: RNAcentral
UCUGAGUUUGCACAGCAACCUCUUUGCUAUGGAGGGACAGAUUCUGCUCACAGGGCAGUGUCUUUGGAGCCACCUUGCACUAACAGCAGUGUAAUUGGCAGCUUGUUUUGGUUCUUUGUAGCAGGUGUCCUCAGGGCUGCCCACUGCCACUGAGACAGGUCGGAAGGACUUUGCACUUACAGCUCUGCCUGGCCUGGUAUUUCCCACUGCUCCAGUGCUGGACACUUAUGGCUGCACAGGACCAGAGACACAACAGGCACAUCCAUGGUUGCCUUCUCAAUUUUCUUGCUCUGGAAGCAGAAACAGAAGAGGAGCUCCAGCCUGCAGCCUUGCAUGUGGGCAUCCUACGCAGCCUGACGGGUGGAAAAUGCUGCCGGAUUCCAAAACAACACAGUGCUGUUACAUCAUUUCUCUGGUGCUGGAAUAACAACAGAGGCUGCCUUAGGGCAGGUAUAGGUGCUAGCCGGUGUCCCUGCCACCGUCACCUUCCUGAAGGCGUAUUUACACCCUAUGCUUUCCCUGUAGGAAAGGCCAAGUGUCUGCGCUGA